UAGAAUUUUCUUCUUGGUUAGUGGUUAUAAUGCAAAACUGAGGCAAGAAAUUUGAUUUUUAAAUAAAUGGGGUCUUUCUAGCUGUUGGGAGGUUCUUCAAAUAUAAACCAGUAGUUUAGCUUGUUUCUCAUUUAUUGAGUGUCUACACUGUGCCAGACAUACCCUCCUGUCUAUAUCAGGACCACCUUGGGAAGAGAGGAUUCAAGGAGAAAUGUGGUUAUUAGUUUACAGAGUGAUGGGUCUUUCCUCCUCUUCCCACUCAAAAAUAAAAAAAGAAAAAGAAAAACCCAAACAAGAAAACAAACAAAAGAAACCCACUCAGAGAAAAUGAGUCUCUCUCUAUGAAGAGGACUUGGAAAGCUUUGAGGUUUGCCCAAGGUGUUAUUCCAGGUGAAGGAAAAUAUUUGACAGAGUGCAUCAGAAAGCAGUAAUCGGAAAACAAAACAAGAAGCAGUUCAUAUAGGUACCCCAAAGCUUCAGAUUAUUCAUCCUUUGGUUGGCCACCUAUUAAUCUAUACCUAUUUGAGGAGGGCAGAAGAGAAAUGGAAGCUAGAGAGGGAUAUUGCGUUAUAGCAGCUGUAUUCCCUCUUAUUUUUAAAGAUACCCAUCAAGGGUGGGUGGCAGUCACCCCUUAUAGGAAGUGACUUUGUUACCAUUAUCCUUCCAGUGCCCUCCAUUUAGUGCGUCAAGGAUGCGUGUGUCUCCAGUGGGCAAACUAAACAACUCCCUCCAAAGUAUUGAUGCAGCAUCAGUCCAAGAGAGCCUGGAUUACAUCAUUCCGUGGGCUGUGGGCACCAUGCCUGUGCUCCUGUCAGAAGCUGCUGUGGUCCUGAAACGCUGCACAAGGAGAAUUUGUGCCUUUUAAAUCUUGGGUUCUGGGGAUUAUGCCAGGGCUGGUUACACAGCAGGAAAAAGCCAGACCCAUGAUGUCAUUCAACAUAUCUUCUCGCAGAGACUAGAUACACUUGUGAGCUAGAUUUGGACUUUUAUACUUGCUUCAUGGGCAUAGGUGUUCUGUUUUGCUUUGUUUUGUUUUAAGCCUCAAAUUACCCCAUAUCCCAUGGCCCUGGUUUUAGUAAAUGUCCUUGUACUGUUCUGAUGUUUCAGCUUGAGGUUGUCGAUAACAAACAAUAGUAGCUUCAUAAGGAACCAAAGUGCACUGCUGUUGUUUACUGAUUCAUUUUGCAUCUCACAGAAAAUGUAAUGGAUGAUAGUGACAGGCUGCUUUUACCUGCCAUAGCUCCAGAAGAGGAGGACUUUAAUCUCAGCUGUAGAAACUGUUAGUUAGCUCUUCCUGUGGAAGCUCCAGACCCCCACCAUCACUGCCACCCCUCCCCCACCUUCCUCAUCCACCCUUUAGCCCCCCCAAAAUAGGUUGUUAAUGAGAGAGCCUCUCAAUUAGGGGAAUGAAGGAUGCUCUGGUUGAUUUUUUUUUCUGGAAUAAAUUUGAGUUAAUCUAAGAAAAAUGCUUUUUA
This 1475-nucleotide long non-coding RNA is filed under the name Bos mutus (wild yak). Its description in RNAcentral is "lncRNA (ENSBMUG00000003989.1)". The record is from RNAcentral. Lineage: Eukaryota; Metazoa; Chordata; Mammalia; Artiodactyla; Bovidae.